This 235-nucleotide ribosomal RNA is filed under the name uncultured Acholeplasma sp. RNAcentral's name for it is "partial 16S ribosomal RNA". It matches the Rfam family "Bacterial small subunit ribosomal RNA", at positions 796 to 1041 of the family's 1533-position model. The record is from RNAcentral. Lineage: Bacteria; Bacillati; Mycoplasmatota; Mollicutes; Acholeplasmatales; Acholeplasmataceae.
CACGCCGUAAACGAUGAGUACUAAGUGUUGGGGUAGCCCAGUGCUGAAGUUAACGUAAUAAGUACUCCGCCUGAGUAGUACGUGCGCAAGCAUGAAACUCAAAGGAAUUGACGGGACCCCGCACAAGCGGUGGAUCAUGUUGUUUAAUUCGAGGAGACGCGAAGAACCGGACCAGGUCUUGACAUACCAUGCAAAGCUAUAGAGAUAUAGUGGAGGUUAACAUGGAUACAGGUGG